CAGGGAGAGAACACCAAAUUCGUUCCGAUACCUGUGGAUUUUCUUCUCGUUUUGGCUUGGGUGCAGCUGGUGGAGUAACGAUCUACUAUACUGAUGUCAGUGCAUCUUUCCAGACUUUUCAUCAAAGAUCAAAUGUUCCCAGUACAAAAUGAAAACCAUGGCCUGUAUCUCUCUGAUGCAAACGCUACGAUGCCGUAGAACAGAAGAAAUGUUGGGCCAGGUAUCAGGACAAGCGACCUCCUUUUGGUUGUGAAGUGGCAUUGAACGAAGUGUUCAAGUGAGAUAUUACAACCUAGAUCGUGACAAGUGGAGUGAACCAGAUCAAGGUGCUGCUACACCUGAUCCCAGGAUCAGCUUCUGAUGAACCAGUCAUUGAGGUGCCCAUUCGGGGAGGCCCCCAGGACCUAGGAGGAGGAGGAGAGAGCUGCUUCCUAGCCUGCUGUGGAGUGUGAUGGCUGGCACGGUUGUCUUUAAGGUCAUGAAGCCUUGUACCCGUGAGCUCAGAAAAGAGCGCUGCUCCCUCAUACGGGAGGUCCUGGAGAGUGGGCUGCAUCUCCUGCGAUAAACCCAAGGAUUGUAGUCAAGAGCUGUGCCACAUCACCACUGCAGAAGCAACAACCCUGGCCACCAAG
Long non-coding RNA from Gopherus evgoodei (Goodes thornscrub tortoise), 632 nucleotides. RefSeq lists it as uncharacterized. The transcript has 5 exons. NCBI's taxonomy places the organism in Eukaryota, Metazoa, Chordata, Testudines, Testudinidae. The record is from RefSeq and is a predicted model, not a curated record.